Molecule: ribosomal RNA, 357 nt
Filed under: Russula japonica
Lineage: Eukaryota; Fungi; Basidiomycota; Agaricomycetes; Russulales; Russulaceae
Description: eukaryotic LSU rRNA
Rfam family: 5.8S ribosomal RNA (bases 1-105)
Source: RNAcentral
GAAAUGCGAUACGUAAUGUGAAUUGCAGAAUUCAGUGAAUCAUCGAAUCUUUGAACGCACCUUGCACCCCUUGGCAUUCCGAGGGGUACACCCGUUUGAGUGUCGUGAUAUCUUCAACCUUCUUGGUUUCUUGAUCAAGAAGGCUUGGAAUUUGGAGGCUUUUGCUGGCUUUCCUCUCAAAGCCAGCUCCUCUUAAAUGAAUUAGUAGGGUCUACUUUGCUGAUCCUUGACGUGAUAAGAUAACUUUCUACGUCUUGGGCUUUUGCAAACCUGCUUCUAACUGUCUCGUCAGAGACUGAACUAUCAUAUAUAUAAACCCUUGACCUCAAAUCGGGUGAGACUACCCGCUGAACUUAA